GCCUGGGUGGCUCAGUUGGUUAAGCGUCUGACUUCGGCUCAGGUCAUGAUCUCACGGUCCGUGAGUUCGAGCCCCGCAUCGGGCU
RNAcentral lists this transfer RNA (85 nucleotides) under Felis catus (domestic cat). It matches the Rfam family "tRNA". From Rfam's summary of the family: Transfer RNA (tRNA) molecules are approximately 80 nucleotides in length. RNAcentral also lists the same sequence under 1 other name. Lineage: Eukaryota; Metazoa; Chordata; Mammalia; Carnivora; Felidae. The record is from Rfam by way of RNAcentral.